RNAcentral lists this ribosomal RNA (4676 nucleotides) under Triticum aestivum (bread wheat). Its description in RNAcentral is "partial small subunit ribosomal RNA". The record is from RNAcentral. Lineage: Eukaryota; Viridiplantae; Streptophyta; Magnoliopsida; Poales; Poaceae.
UGCCGGUUCGACUCGAUCCGGCCGGCCCCGACCCGCCAAGCCGCGCCGGAGAUCGAGGAGGGCUCGCCCGAGGCCCAGCGGCGACCGGGGUCCCCGGCAAUUCCGCCGCCAAGGAGGUGCGGAGGCGCAUCCCCGCGCCCGCCCGUGCUCCCUCCAUCCCUCCCUCCCGCUCCGCUCCAGGGAAGAAGAGGAAAGCGCGCAUCUUGGAAGGACGAUUUGUCCGUUCGUCGUCGUCCCCCAGCUGGUGCGGUGGGUUGCCCCGCUCCGCUCAGCUCACCUCAGCUCACGGGGCCGGAUUUGGUCUGGCGGUGCGGGUGCGGUUGGGGUGCGAAUUAAAAAAGGGCGAGGAGAGGGGGAGUGGUUAGUUCUUCCCUACCCUUGGCCGCUUGCAGCGGGGGCGCUAGCUGCUUCGUUGGCUCGCUCGUGCCAUUAAAGGCGUCCCCUUCCUCCCUCCGCCCCCCUCUCUCUCCCGGUGGUUGGGUCCUCGGAAGAUCUGCGUCGGUUCUUGCCAGGGGUUUGGGCAGAUUCGAGGAAGAAGACGGGGGCGGGCUCUGAUUCGCCGUGGUAUUUAUGUGCCAUGAGGAAGCUCUUCUUCUCCGAGUUGACCUCCUGCAAGGAGACCAAGCUCCAGUCCGCCACCCACUCAUGGCUGCCCAUGGACAAAGGCAAGCUCUCCAAGUUCACUGGCCACUCCAGCUCCUCCUCCUCGAUAGAAUCUCUGAUGAAAAUGCCGGAGCCGCCGGUCCUCCCGCACUUCAAGCCCGCUGACUACGUCGACAUAUUGGCUCAGAUUCACGAGGAGCUGGAAUACUGCCCUCCCGACGAGAAGUCGUGCCUGUACCUGCUCCAGUUCCAGGUCUUCCGCGGGCUUGGUGAGGCCAAGCUGUCGCGAAGGAGCCUCCAGGCUGCGUGGGAGAAGGCGAGCACGAUACACGAGAAGCUCAUAUUUGGGGCAUGGCUCAAGUACGAGAAGAGAGGGGAGGAGCCCAUAUCUGACCUUCUUGGCUCGUGCGGCAAGUGCUCUCAAGAGUUCAAGCUGCUGGAUUUCGUCUCGCAGAUCUCCGCCGAUUCGCUCGGGAUAAGCUAUGACGACGAAUCUGAUGAGUUCCAGGGCUCCCCGGUGGUUCAUUUCCGGAUAAGAGAUGACAUGAUUGCCUGCGAUAGGCGGAAGCUUGCGGCCUUGUCAACUCCACUGUAUGCGAUGCUUAAUGGUGGGUUUAAGGAAUCACAUCUUGAGGUCAUUGACAUGUCUCGGAACGGCAUCUCGCCUAUUGGUAUGCGGGCCAUCAGUAAAUUCAGCCUGUCAGGAAGACUACCGUAUUUGUCAGCAGAAUCUAUUUUGGAGAUGCUUGAUUUUGCUAACAAAUUCUGCUGUAAGGGCCUCAAGGAUGCUUGCGAGCAAAAGCUUGCUUCUUUUGUUUCUUCCAGGCAAGAUGCCAUAGAUUACAUGGAGUGUGCUAUUGAGCUGGGCUGUUCCAUACUUGCCGCGUCAUGCUUGCAGGUGCUCCUGAAUGAGCUUCCAGAAUGCUUGAAUGAUGAGCAAGUGGUUAGGAUAUUCUCCUCUGCGAAUAAGCAGCAGAGAUCCACUAUGGCUGGCAAUGCAUCCUUCUCCCUAUAUUGCCUUCUUGGUGAAGUCUCCAUGAGCAUCAGUGCAACAUCAGAUGUCACUGUAAGCUUCUUGGAGAAGCUGGUUGACUCGGCAUCAGAUUCUAGACAGAAGCAGUUGUCCUUGCAUCAGCUGGCUUGCGUGAGGCUGCUAAGGAAAGAUCAUGCUGAAGCGGAGCGCCUGUUCAAUGCUGCCUUUACCGCUGGUCAUGUCUACUCGGUAGUGGGCUUGGCUAGAUUGGCCUCUCUGAGGAGCAAUAAGCAUUAUUCUCUCAACUUGCUUGACUCUGUCAUGUCAUCUCGUUGGCCUCUUGGGUGGAUGUAUCAAGAGAGAGCCCUAUAUCUGGACGGUGAUAGCAAGUUGGAGAAUCUCAAUAAGGCUACUGAACUGGAUCCGACGCUUACAUACCCCUAUAUGUUUCGAGCUGCAUCGUUGAUGAAAAGGCAAAGUGUUGAAGCUGCCCUGAUGGAGAUUAACCGGAUCCUGGGGUUCAAGCUGGUCCUGGAAUGCUUAGAGCUAAGGUUCUGUUGCUACCUUGCUCUAGAGGACUACAGAGCUGCCUUAUGCGAUGUACAGGCAAUCCUCACGCUUGCUCCAGAUUAUCGUAUGAUUGGUGGUCGGGUGGCUGCGAAGCAGCUACGUACACUUGUGAUGGAGAAUGUAGAGCAAUGGACGACUGCUGAUUGCUGGAUGCAGCUUUAUGAUCGGUGGUCCUCUGUGGAUGAUAUUGGAUCCCUCUCGGUCAUAUAUCAAAUGCUGGAGUCAGAUGCUGCUAAGGGAGUACUGUACUUCAGACAGUCUUUGCUACUUCUCAGAUUAAAUUGUCCUGAGGCAGCAAUGCGCAGCUUGCAGCUUGCUCGCGAGCAUGCGGCAAGCCAACAUGAACGGCUUGUUUACGAAGGAUGGAUACUGUAUGAUACUGGCCACUGCGAGGAAGGAUUGCAGAAAGCGGAAGCAUCGAUUGCCAUACAGAGAUCAUUUGAGGCAUUCUUUCUAAAAGCUUAUGCUUUAGCUGAUUCGAGUCUUGAGCCGUCAACCUCGGCAACAGUCGUAUCGCUUCUUGAAGAUGCAUUACGGUGUCCCUCAGAUAGACUUAGGAAGGGCCAGGCUUUGAAUAACCUUGGGAGUGUUUAUGUGGAUUGCGGUAAUCUAGACUUGGCAGCUGAAUGCUACAUCAACGCCUUAAAGAUUGGCCACACCAGAGCUCAUCAAGGCCUCGCCAGGGUUCAUUUCCUUAGGAAUAACAGGACCGGUGCGUUCGAGGAAAUGACCAAGCUGAUAGAGAAGGCCAGGAGCAAUGCAUCAGCAUACGAGAAGAGGUCUGAGUAUUGUGACCGGGAUCUAACUAAAGCUGAUCUGCAGAUGGUCACCAAACUUGACCCCCUCCGGGUCUACCCCUACAGAUACCGUGCUGCUGUUCUGAUGGACAACCACAAGGAGAAAGAUGCCAUCUCAGAGCUGACUAAGGCAAUUGCCUUUAAGGCGGACCUGAACCUGCUCCAUCUGCGUGCGGCCUUCCAUGAGCACGUGGGUGACAUCUCAGGCGCCCUCCGGGACUGCCGCGCAGCACUUUCCGUGGACCCCAACCACCAGGAGAUGCUCGAGCUUCAUCACCGGGUGAACAGCCAAGAACCCUGAGCCCGUUGUUGUACAUACAGGAGGGGCUCCCAUAGCGAAAACCCAUACCAGUGUAUGUUCUGUACCAUACACAGCAAGCAGUAAUUUUUAGUUUUGAUGGUGUCUAGUGCGGCUGUAAGGAUUGUGAUCAUCAAAACGUCUAAAAUUAAGCCACGUGCUAUAUGGAAAAUAUUACAUUCCACCUGUGUCACUUGGCUACACUAACUGGGCAAUAGGCUUCAGCAUGCAACAAUACACUGCAUACUGCCGAUUGAACCGAAGGCCUGGCUGUUGUGUUCUUCAGUUUUUGCACUGCUGUAAGAUCCACUUCUUUUGUGUUAGUAGUGAAUCUGUUGCGACAUGCAAUUUGAUAUGUCCGUUGUGUAACCAUUUUCAUACUUCGUAAACUGCUGAAUAGCACUAUUAGUUGAUCCUCAGGCUGCAGAUGUAAAGAUAGUUCAUGUAGUUGCUUUUGUGUGAUUAACUAUGGUUAGGGCCUGCAAAUUGGAUAUCAUUUCUGAUUAUCAUGGUCGGUAAACUGGUAAAUAACACUACUAAUAGUUGCAUAUGGUUGAAGACUGGAAUGAUCUGCAUGAGUCGGUUACCACUGCAUGUUAUUCCCAGAUGGACAGGUACAGUUAUUUUCUUGUUAGUGAACAUGUGUACUUUGUGUAGUGGCCAUGAAACUAGAUGAGCUUAUGUUAUAUUUCUCUGUUACUUUUGAAGGUUGCAAUGGUGGCCUGGUGGGAUCUCACAAGGGAAGCUGCCAUUUAUUUGAUACAACUGUUUGCUCAAGGAAGUUCCCGGCAAGUCCUGACUACUUCUGCAGAUUAAAGAAUCCGUGUUGUUAAUGGCUAUGGGCUUGUUCAUAAAUUUUUAAAGGGGUUCAGCAAUACCAGAAGCUAAAUGGGGCUGCUCACAGAUACACCGAGAGCCCAGUUUGCAAAGCUGGUUGAAAGCACAAACACCAGCAAUCAUCCAGUUGAAGCAGUGUCCCCGUCCUUGCCCGACGAACAACCACCAAGGAGGAGUCCUGGUCAUGGCUGUCCAGCGCCUGUCCAUGUGGGGUUUGGUAAUUGUCACGGGCGUGUGGGGUUUGGUUAUUGUCGCGGAGAAGCCAGAGUGUUCCAGGUUUUUGGUUUCCCUGUUCCGAGUGCGAAGCUAGCGUAAGAGCGCGGAGCUGUUGGUUUCUUUUCCUGUAUAGAUAUCUUUAGGUUUUCACCCAAAGUCUCAACUGGUUGAAAGUGUUGUCUGUUUGAUGCCUGCUUUCUUUGGGUGGUGCCUGCCGUAAGAAAGAGAUUAAUUCAGAAAAACCAUACCAUUCUUUCCACUGCUGAUAUAGCCUCUGUAAUCGUAUGGUUAACAGCCAGCCAGUACAUUUAUUUGUUGGUAACAUAUUGGUUAUUUCCUGAUGCUACAUGACAGGAUGUAUCCCUUGUGCUUCAAAAAAUUC